UACUUAGUGGCAGACGGGUGAGUAACAUGUGGGUAUCUACCCUUUGGCCUGGAAUAACACGAGGAAACUUGUGCUAAUACCGGAUAAGUCUUUACGGAGAAAGCUUUAUGCACCAUUGGAUGAGCCCGCACUUGAUUAGUUUGUUGGUAGGGUAAUGGCCUACCAAGACCAUGAUCAAUAGCUGAUUUGAGAGGAUGAUCAGCCACAUUGGGACUGAGACACGGCCCAAACUCCUACGGGAGGCAGCAGUGGGGAAUCUUGCACAAUGGAGGAAACUCUGAUGCAGCGAUGCCGCGUGAGUGAAGAAGGCCUUUGGGUUGUAAAGCUCUUUCGUCGGGGAA
This 341-nucleotide ribosomal RNA is filed under the name uncultured Pelagibacterales bacterium. RNAcentral describes it as "bacterial SSU rRNA". It matches the Rfam family "Bacterial small subunit ribosomal RNA", at positions 89 to 446 of the family's 1533-position model. The record is from RNAcentral. Lineage: Bacteria; Pseudomonadati; Pseudomonadota; Alphaproteobacteria; Candidatus Pelagibacterales.